RNAcentral lists this ribosomal RNA (310 nucleotides) under uncultured bacterium. RNAcentral describes it as "bacterial SSU rRNA". It matches the Rfam family "Bacterial small subunit ribosomal RNA", at positions 28 to 339 of the family's 1533-position model. The record is from RNAcentral.
GACGAACGCUGGCGGCGUGCUUAACACAUGCAAGUCGAGCGGUAAGGCCCUUUCGGGGGUACACGAGCGGCGAACGGGUGAGUAACACGUGGGUGACCUGCCCUCAGCUCUGGGAUAAGCCUGGGAAACCGGGUCUAAUACCGGAUAUGACUCCAUGACGCAUGUUGUGGGGUGGAAAGCCUUGUGCGGCUGAGGAUGGGCCCGCGGCCUAUCAGCUUGUUGGUGGGGUGAUGGCCUACCAAGGCGACGACGGGUAGCCGGCCUGAGAGGGCGGUCGGUCACACUGACACUGACAUACGGGUCAGACUCC